ACAUCAAGACCAACAAUCUCCAGGUUUUUCUAAUUUCUCUUCUUGAAGUGACUUUCUCUAAAAAUUUAUUGAAGAGAAUAUUUUGCCACCAAGCAUAUUUUGUGUUUCAUAUAUUUCUGCUUUCAUCUAUACUAUGAAUGAAUAUUGGUAUACUGAUUUCAGUGCAUGUGUGUUUGGAAAUGUGUGUGCAUUUAUUUUCUCAACCCUCAUAAAUAUUCUGGGUGUAUCUUUCAUUAGGAUCCUAA
This 245-nucleotide unclassified non-coding RNA is filed under the name Hevea brasiliensis (rubber tree). Lineage: Eukaryota; Viridiplantae; Streptophyta; Magnoliopsida; Malpighiales; Euphorbiaceae. The record is from RNAcentral.